This is a non-coding RNA of Pelobates cultripes (western spadefoot toad), 223 nucleotides long. The record is from the annotation of a GenBank genome assembly. NCBI's taxonomy places the organism in Eukaryota, Metazoa, Chordata, Amphibia, Anura, Pelobatidae.
CUUUAAAAUAUGAUGUUUGUCUGCCAAUUAAAUGAGCUUAUUAGAGGUCUCAACAUGACAAAAUAGGACUGUCAAGCAUCUUCUGCACUGCUGGCUCCAUAAUGCAAGUGAUAGUACUUAUUUUGUGCACCUGCAGUGGUUAUUUUGUGUCGCUGAGCAUUAUGGGAGCACAAUCUAACAGCAGCUGAAGGUGGAGUUGGCAGAUUCAACAUCUGUAUACUUG